Molecule: ribosomal RNA, 1487 nt
Filed under: Salmonella enterica
Lineage: Bacteria; Pseudomonadati; Pseudomonadota; Gammaproteobacteria; Enterobacterales; Enterobacteriaceae
Also listed under: 1 other name
Description: partial 23S ribosomal RNA
Rfam family: Bacterial large subunit ribosomal RNA
Source: RNAcentral
AGACCCGAAACCCGGUGAUCUAGCCAUGGGCAGGUUGAAGGUUGGGUAACACUAACUGGAGGACCGAACCGACUAAUGUUGAAAAAUUAGCGGAUGACCUGUGGCUGGGGGUGAAAGGCCAAUCAAACCGGGAGAUAGCUGGUUCUCCCCGAAAGCUAUUUAGGUAGCGCCUCGUGAAUUCAUCUCCGGGGGUAGAGCACUGUUUCGGCUAGGGGGCCAUCCCGGCUUACCAACCCGAUGCAAACUGCGAAUACCGGAGAAUGUUAUCACGGGAGACACACGGCGGGUGCUAACGUCCGUCGUGAAGAGGGAAACAACCCAGACCGCCAGCUAAGGUCCCAAAGUCAUAGUUAAGUGGGAAACGAUGUGGGAAGGCCCAGACAGCCAGGAUGUUGGCUUAGAAGCAGCCAUCAUUUAAAGAAAGCGUAAUAGCUCACUGGUCGAGUCGGCCUGCGCGGAAGAUGUAACGGGGCUAAACUAUGCACCGAAGCUGCGGCAGCGACACUAUGUGUUGUUGGGUAGGGGAGCGUUCUGUAAGCCUGUGAAGGUGUGUCGUGAGGCAUGCUGGAGGUAUCAGAAGUGCGAAUGCUGACAUAAGUAACGAUAAAGCGGGUGAAAAGCCCGCUCGCCGGAAGACCAAGGGUUCCUGUCCAACGUUAAUCGGGGCAGGGUGAGUCGACCCCUAAGGCGAGGCCGAAAGGCGUAGUCGAUGGGAAACGGGUUAAUAUUCCCGUACUUGGUGUUACUGCGAAGGGGGGACGGAGAAGGCUAUGUUGGCCGGGCGACGGUUGUCCCGGUUUAAGCGUGUAGGUGUGUGUUCCAGGUAAAUCCGGUUCACUUUAACACUGAGGCGUGAUGACGAGGCACUACGGUGCUGAAGCAACAAAUGCCCUGCUUCCAGGAAAAGCCUCUAAGCAUCAGGUAACAUCAAAUCGUACCCCAAACCGACACAGGUGGUCAGGUAGAGAAUACCAAGGCGCUUGAGAGAACUCGGGUGAAGGAACUAGGCAAAAUGGUGCCGUAACUUCGGGAGAAGGCACGCUGACACGUAGGUGAAGUGAUUUACUCAUGGAGCUGAAGUCAGUCGAAGAUACCAGCUGGCUGCAACUGUUUAUUAAAAACACAGCACUGUGCAAACACGAAAGUGGACGUAUACGGUGUGACGCCUGCCCGGUGCCGGAAGGUUAAUUGAUGGGGUCAGCGCAAGCGAAGCUCCUGAUCGAAGCCCCGGUAAACGGCGGCCGUAACUAUAACGGUCCUAAGGUAGCGAAAUUCCUUGUCGGGUAAGUUCCGACCUGCACGAAUGGCGUAAUGAUGGCCAGGCUGUCUCCACCCGAGACUCAGUGAAAUUGAACUCGCUGUGAAGAUGCAGUGUACCCGCGGCAAGACGGAAAGACCCCGUGAACCUUUACUAUAGCUUGACACUGAACAUUGAGCCUUGAUGUGUAGGAUAGGUGGGAGGCUUUGAAGUGUGGACGCCAGUCUGC